RNAcentral lists this ribosomal RNA (225 nucleotides) under uncultured bacterium. RNAcentral describes it as "partial 16S ribosomal RNA". It matches the Rfam family "Bacterial small subunit ribosomal RNA", at positions 109 to 334 of the family's 1533-position model. The record is from RNAcentral.
AGUAACGCGUGGAUAACCUGCCUCACACUGGGGGAUAACAGUUAGAAAUGACUGCUAAUACCGCAUAAGCGCACAGUGCCGCAUGGUACAGUGUGAAAAACUCCGGUGGUGUGAGAUGGAUCCGCGUCUGAUUAGCCAGUUGGCGGGGUAACGGCCCACCAAAGCGACGAUCAGUAGCCGACCUGAGAGGGUGACCGGCCACAUUGGGACUGAGACACGGCCCAA